This 492-nucleotide ribosomal RNA is filed under the name uncultured bacterium. Its description in RNAcentral is "partial 16S ribosomal RNA". It matches the Rfam family "Bacterial small subunit ribosomal RNA", at positions 29 to 507 of the family's 1533-position model. The record is from RNAcentral.
AGUGAACGCUGGCGGUAGGCCUAACACAUGCAAGUCGAACGGCAGCACAGUAAGAGCUUGCUCUUACGGGUGGCGAGUGGCGGACGGGUGAGGAAUACAUCGGAAUCUACUUUUUCGUGGGGGAUAACGUAGGGAAACUUACGCUAAUACCGCAUACGACCUACGGGUGAAAGCAGGGGAUCUUCGGACCUUGCGCGAUUGAAUGAGCCGAUGUCGGAUUAGCUAGUUGGCGGGGUAAAGGCCCACCAAGGCGACGAUCCGUAGCUGGUCUGAGAGGAUGAUCAGCCACACUGGAACUGAGACACGGUCCAGACUCCUACGGGAGGCAGCAGUGGGGAAUAUUGGACAAUGGGCGCAAGCCUGAUCCAGCCAUACCGCGUGGGUGAAGAAGGCCUUCGGGUUGUAAAGCCCUUUUGUUAGGAAAGAAAAGCGGCAGGUUAAUACCCCGCUGUUCUGACGGUACCCAAAGAAUAAGCACCGGCUAACUUCGUG